Molecule: ribosomal RNA, 252 nt
Filed under: uncultured bacterium
Lineage: Bacteria
Description: partial 16S ribosomal RNA
Rfam family: Bacterial small subunit ribosomal RNA
Source: RNAcentral
UACGUAGGUCCCGAGCGUUGUCCGGAUUUAUUGGGCGUAAAGCGAGCGCAGGUGGUUUAUUAAGUCUGGUGUAAAGGGCAGUGGCCCAACCAUUGUAUGCAUUGGAAACUGGUAGACUUGAGUGCAGGAGAGGAGAGUGGAAUUCCAUGUGUAGCGGUGAAAUGCGUAGAUAUAUGGAGGAACACCGGUGGCGAAAGCGGCUCUCUGGCCUGUAACUGACACUGAGGCUCGAAAGCGUGGGGAGCAAACAGG